Molecule: ribosomal RNA, 468 nt
Filed under: uncultured bacterium
Lineage: Bacteria
Description: partial 16S ribosomal RNA
Rfam family: Bacterial small subunit ribosomal RNA
Source: RNAcentral
GACGAACGCUGGCGGCGUGCUUAACACAUGCAAGUCGAACGGAAAGGCCCUGCUUUUGUGGGGUGCUCGAGUGGCGAACGGGUGAGUAACACGUGAGUAACCUGCCCUUGACUUUGGGAUAACUUCAGGAAACUGGGGCUAAUACCGGAUAGGAGCUCCUGCUGCAUGGUGGGAGUUGGAAAGUUUCGGCGGUUGGGGAUGGACUCGCGGCUUAUCAGCUUGUUGGUGGGGUAGUGGCUUACCAAGGCUUUGACGGGUAGCCGGCCUGAGAGGGUGACCGGCCACAUUGGGACUGAGAUACGGCCCAGACUCCUACGGGAGGCAGCAGUGGGGAAUAUUGCACAAUGGGCGGAAGCCUGAUGCAGCAACGCCGCGUGCGGGAUGACGGCCUUCAGGUUGUAAACCGCUUUCGCCUGUGACGAAGCGUGAGUGACGGUAAUGGGUAAAGAAGCACCGGCUAACUACGUG